AGCUCCGAUAGCGUAUAUUAAAGUUGCUGCAGUUAAAAAGCUCGUAGUUGGAUUUCUGGCAAGACAACAACGUCGGCAGUUCUGCUUGAACCGCGUUGUCCUGUCAUCCUUCUGUUAACCCCGGAUCUUCAUUGUUGUCCGGGCGCUCAGAUAUUUUACCUUGAGAAAAUUAGAGUGUUUCAGGCAGGCUCGCGCCGGAAUACAUUAGCAUGGAAUAAUAGAAUAGGACUCUGCUUCCUUCUGUUGGUCUGAGGGGCGAAGUAAUGGUUAAUAGGGAUAGUUGGGGGCAUUAGUACUUAACUGUCAGAGGUGAAAUUCUUGGAUUUGUUAAAGACUAACUUAUGCGAAAGCAUUUGCCAAGGAUGUUUUCA
This 371-nucleotide ribosomal RNA is filed under the name uncultured eukaryote. Its description in RNAcentral is "SSU rRNA". It matches the Rfam family "Eukaryotic small subunit ribosomal RNA", at positions 587 to 972 of the family's 1831-position model. The record is from RNAcentral.